This 600-nucleotide ribosomal RNA is filed under the name Staphylococcus aureus. RNAcentral describes it as "bacterial SSU rRNA". It matches the Rfam family "Bacterial small subunit ribosomal RNA", at positions 356 to 966 of the family's 1533-position model. Lineage: Bacteria; Bacillati; Bacillota; Bacilli; Caryophanales; Staphylococcaceae. The record is from RNAcentral.
GGGGAAUAUUGCACAAUGGGCGAAAGCCUGAUGCAGCGACGCCGCGUGAGGGAUGACGGCCUUCGGGUUGUAAACCUCUUUCACCAGGGACGAAGCGUAAGUGACGGUACCUGGAGAAGAAGCACCGGCCAACUACGUGCCAGCAGCCGCGGUAAUACGUAGGGUGCGAGCGUUGUCCGGAAUUACUGGGCGUAAAGAGCUCGUAGGCGGUUUGUCGCGUCGUCUGUGAAAUCCCGCAGCUCAACUGCGGGCUUGCAGGCGAUACGGGCAAACUCGAGUACUGCAGGGGAGACUGGAAUUCCUGGUGUAGCGGUGAAAUGCGCAGAUAUCAGGAGGAACACCGGUGGCGAAGGCGGGUCUCUGGGCAGUAACUGACGCUGAGGAGCGAAAGCGUGGGUAGCGAACAGGAUUAGAUACCCUGGUAGUCCACGCCGUAAACGGUGGGCGCUAGGUGUGGGUUUCCUUCCACGGGAUCCGUGCCGUAGCUAACGCAUUAAGCGCCCCGCCUGGGGAGUACGGCCGCAAGGCUAAAACUCAAAGGAAUUGACGGGGGCCCGCACAAGCGGCGGAGCAGGUGGAUUAAUUCGAUGCAACGCGAAG